Molecule: ribosomal RNA, 491 nt
Filed under: uncultured bacterium
Lineage: Bacteria
Description: partial 16S ribosomal RNA
Rfam family: Bacterial small subunit ribosomal RNA
Source: RNAcentral
GAUGAACGCUGGCUACAGGCUUAACACAUGCAAGUCGAGGGGAAACGACGGGGAAGCUUGCUUCCCCGGGCGUCGACCGGCGCACGGGUGAGUAACGCGUAUCCAACCUGCCUCUGACUGAGGGAUAACCCGUCGAAAGUCGGCCUAAUACCUCAUGGCAUCGUCUGCGGGCAUCCAACGACGAUUAAAGAUUUCAUCGGUCAGAGAUGGGGAUGCGUCUGAUUAGCUUGUUGGCGGGGUAACGGCCCACCAAGGCGACGAUCAGUAGGGGUUCUGAGAGGAAGGUCCCCCACAUUGGAACUGCGACCCGGUCCAAACUCCUACGGGAGGCAGCAGUGACGUCUAUUGGUCACUGGGCGAGAGCCUGAACCAGCCAAGUAGCGUGCAGGAUGACGGCCCUAUGGGUUGUAAACUGCUUUUAUGCGGGGAUAAAGUGAGGGACGUGUCCUUCAUUGCAGGUACCGCAUGAAUAAGGACCGGCUAAUUCCGUG